CCAGAGGACCUGGAUCUCAACUGAAAAGACAGUAUUUCAGUUUCAGAACUUUCAGCAAGUGGGCCUUUUGAAAGUCAUGAUUUUCUUCGGAAAGGUUUUUCUUGUGUGAAAAAUGAAAUUUUGCCCAGUCAUCCUCUUAAAUUAUCAGAAAAAAAUUUCCAGUUCAACCAAGAUAAAAUGAAUUUUUCCACUCUGAGAAACAUCCAAGGUUUAUUUGCUC
This 220-nucleotide long non-coding RNA is filed under the name Marmota monax (woodchuck). Lineage: Eukaryota; Metazoa; Chordata; Mammalia; Rodentia; Sciuridae. The record is from RNAcentral.